GACGAACGCUGGCGGCAUGCCUAAUACAUGCGAGUCGAGCGAACAGAUGAAGUGCUUGCACUUCUGACGUUAGCGGCGAACGGGUGAGUAACACGUAAGGAAUCUACCUAUAAGCGGGGGAUAACAUUCGGAAACGGGUGCUAAUACCGCAUAAUAUCUUCUUCCGCAUGGAAGGAGAUUGAAAGACGGCUCUGCUGUCACUUAUAGAUGACCUUGCGGUGCAUUAGUUAGUUGGUGGGGUAACGGCCUACCAAGACGAUGAUGCAUAGCCGACCUGAGAGGGUGAUCGGCCACAUUGGGACUGAGACACGGCCCAAACUCCUACGGGAGGCAGCAGUAGGGAAUCUUCCGCAAUGGGCGAAAGCCUGACGGAGCAACGCCGCGUGAGUGAAGAAGGCCUUCGGGUCGUAAAACUCUGUUAUAAGAGAAGAACAAAUUGUAGAGUAACUGCUACAGUCUUGACGGUAUCUUAUCAGAAAGCCACGGCUAACUACGUGCCAGCAGCCGCCGUAA
RNAcentral lists this ribosomal RNA (513 nucleotides) under uncultured bacterium. RNAcentral's name for it is "partial 16S ribosomal RNA". It matches the Rfam family "Bacterial small subunit ribosomal RNA", at positions 28 to 523 of the family's 1533-position model. The record is from RNAcentral.